AUGUUGUCUUCACCUAGUAUCGUAGCAUACAAUGUUUUCCCCGCACAAUUACAGAAUUUUGGCGACAUCUCGUUACCGAAAAGGUCGAAAAGUGUCGGGGCGCAACUCUAUCCAGAUUGGGUCAUUAAGAAAAAUCUUACGUCUUUUUGGGACGAAUGCAAUGUUGUUCUAUAUGAAUUAAUAAAAGAGGGAAGACCUAUUAAUUCUACUGCAAUCCAAACUAGAUUAUGCCAAAAAGAAAAAGCAUUGGGUGUGGAUAGAAUUAUCAAAAAUUUGGAUAACAAAGUUAAUUCGGCUAUUGAAAAAACCAAAUCAAAUAUUACGUAUGCCGAAUCUUUUCUAGAAAAAUAG
RNAcentral lists this ribosomal RNA (351 nucleotides) under Triticum aestivum (bread wheat). Its description in RNAcentral is "partial small subunit ribosomal RNA". Lineage: Eukaryota; Viridiplantae; Streptophyta; Magnoliopsida; Poales; Poaceae. The record is from RNAcentral.